RNAcentral lists this ribosomal RNA (931 nucleotides) under termite gut metagenome. RNAcentral describes it as "bacterial SSU rRNA". It matches the Rfam family "Bacterial small subunit ribosomal RNA", at positions 8 to 943 of the family's 1533-position model. The record is from RNAcentral.
AGAGUUUGAUCCUGGCUCAGGAUGAACGCUAGCGGCAGGCCUAACACAUGCAAGUCGAGGGGCAUCACGGAAGUUGGUAACAACUUUUGGUGGCGACCGGCGGACGGGUGCGUAACGCGUAUGCAACCUACCUUAAACAGGGGGAUAAUUCGGAGAAAUCUGGUCUAAUACCCCAUAAUAUUUGAAACGGCAUCGUUUCGAGUUGAAAACUCCGGUGGUUUAAGAUGGGCAUGCGUUGUAUUAGUUAGUUGGUGAGGUAACGGCUCACCAAGGCUACGAUACAUAGGGGGACUGAGAGGUUAACCCCCCACACUGGAACUGAGACACGGACGGGAGGCAGCAGUGAGGAAUAUUGGUCAAUGGGGGCAACCCUGAACCAGCCAUGCCGCGUGCAGGAAGACGGCUCUAUGAGUUGUAAACUGCUUUUUUACGGGAAUAAAUUCAGGUACGUGUACCUGUUUGAAUGUACUGUAUGAAUAAGGAUCGGCUAACUCCGUGCCAGCAGCCGCGGUAAUACGGAGGAUCCAAGCGUUAUCCGGAUUUAUUGGGUUUAAAGGGUGCGUAGGCGGAAGUAUAAGUUAUAGGUGAAAUCUCGGUGCUCAACACCGAAACUGCCUGUGAUACUGUAUUUCUAGAGAUUGCGUGCUGUGGGCGGAAUGUAUGGUGUAGCGGUGAAAUGCUUAGAGAUCAUACAGAACACCGAUUGCGAAGGCAGCUCACAAAAGCAAAUCUGACGCUGAGGCACGAAAGCGUGGGGAUCAAACAGGAUUAGAUACCCUGGUAGUCCACGCAGUAAACGAUGAUAACUCGUUGUCGGCGAUACAAUGUCGGUGACUAAGCGAAAGCGAUAAGUUAUCCACCUGGGGAGUACGUUCGCAAGAAUGAAACUCAAAGGAAUUGACGGGGGCCCGCACAAGCGGAGGAACAUGUG